UGUCCAGCAACUCCUAUCUCUACCUUCUCAUGGUACUGGCCAGGGUACGAGCAACCUCAGGGAAGAUCGGGUAACCAACCCCGGUGGGAACUAUGGUCGUAUGCUGAUAGGAAAGG
This 116-nucleotide ribozyme is filed under the name Aedes aegypti (yellow fever mosquito). RNAcentral describes it as "drz-agam-1 ribozyme". It matches the Rfam family "drz-agam-1 ribozyme". The record is from Rfam by way of RNAcentral. Lineage: Eukaryota; Metazoa; Arthropoda; Insecta; Diptera; Culicidae.